RNAcentral lists this transfer RNA (96 nucleotides) under Bacillota bacterium. RNAcentral's name for it is "tRNA-Ser". It matches the Rfam family "tRNA". Rfam says of the family: Transfer RNA (tRNA) molecules are approximately 80 nucleotides in length. Their secondary structure includes four short double-helical elements and three loops (D, anti-codon, and T loops). Lineage: Bacteria; Bacillati; Bacillota. The record is from RNAcentral.
AGAGAGGUGGCUGAGUCUGGUUGAAGGCGCUCGACUCGAAAUCGAGUAGGCGAGUUAACCCUUGCCUCGGGGGUUCAAAUCCCUCCCUCUCCGCCA